CGGGGUGAGUAAUGUCUGGGAAACUGCCUGAUGGAGGAGGAUAACUACUGGAAACGGUAGCUAAUACCGCAUAACGUCGCAAGACCAAAGAGGGGGACCUUCGGGCCUCUUGCCAUCGGAUGUGCCCAGAUGGGAUUAGCUAGUAGGUGGGGUAACGGCUCACCUAGGCGACGAUCCCUAGCUGGUCUGAGAGGAUGACCAGCCACACUGGAACUGAGACACGGUCCAG
RNAcentral lists this ribosomal RNA (229 nucleotides) under uncultured bacterium. Its description in RNAcentral is "partial 16S ribosomal RNA". It matches the Rfam family "Bacterial small subunit ribosomal RNA", at positions 104 to 334 of the family's 1533-position model. The record is from RNAcentral.